RNAcentral lists this ribosomal RNA (509 nucleotides) under uncultured bacterium. RNAcentral's name for it is "partial 16S ribosomal RNA". It matches the Rfam family "Bacterial small subunit ribosomal RNA", at positions 28 to 523 of the family's 1533-position model. The record is from RNAcentral.
GACGAACGCUGGCGGCGCGCUUAACACAUGCAAGUCGAGCGAGAACCAGCCCUUCGGGGCUGGGGAGAGCGGCGAACGGGUGAGUAACACGUGGGUAAUCAACCCUCGGUACUGGGAUAGCCCGGGGAAACCCGGAUUAAUACCGGAUGGCCCUUCGAAUCCUCGGACUUGAAGGAAAGGGUAGCUUCGGCCUCCGACCGAGGACGAGCCCGCGGCGGAUUAGCUUGUUGGUGGGGUAACGGCCUACCAAGGCGACGAUCCGUAGCUGGUCUGAGAGGACGAUCAGCCACACUGGGACUGAGACACGGCCCAGACUUCUACGGAAGGCAGCAGUGGGGAAUCUUGCGCUAAUGCGGGAAACCGUGACGCAGCGACGCCGCGUGGGGGAAGAAGGCCCUCGGGUUGUAAACCUCUUUCAGGAGGGACGAAGCUACUCGGGUUAAUAGCCCAGAGGGUGACGGUACCUCCAGAAGAAGCCCCGGCUAACUACGUGCCAGCAGCCGCAGUAA